UACGGAGGGUGCGAGCGUUGUCCGGAAUCACUGGGCGUAAAGGGCGCGUAGGUGGCGCGGUAAGCGGGUGGUGAAAGUCCGGGGCUCAACCCCGGAUCGGCCAUGCGAACUGCCGCGCUCGAGCACUGUAGAGGCAGGUGGAAUUCCGGGUGUAGCGGUGGAAUGCGUAGAGAUCCGGAAGAACACCGGUGGCGAAGGCGGCCUGCUGGGCAGUUGCUGACACUGAGGCGCGACAGCGUGGGGAGCAAACAGG
Molecule: ribosomal RNA, 253 nt
Filed under: uncultured bacterium
Lineage: Bacteria
Description: partial 16S ribosomal RNA
Rfam family: Bacterial small subunit ribosomal RNA
Source: RNAcentral